Molecule: transfer RNA, 72 nt
Filed under: Camelus bactrianus (Bactrian camel)
Lineage: Eukaryota; Metazoa; Chordata; Mammalia; Artiodactyla; Camelidae
Also listed under: 1 other name
Rfam family: tRNA
About the family: Transfer RNA (tRNA) molecules are approximately 80 nucleotides in length. Their secondary structure includes four short double-helical elements and three loops (D, anti-codon, and T loops).
Source: Rfam by way of RNAcentral
GAGGGUAUAGCUCAGUGGUAGAGUGCGUGCUUAGCAUGCAUGAGGUCCUGGGUUCAAUCUCCAGUACCUCCA